GUCCGCCUGCCCUGUGAUAAUUAUUUAACGGCCGCGGUAUUCUGACCGUGCAAAGGUAGCGCAAUCACUUGUCUCUUAAAUGGAGACCCGUAUGAAUGGCAUAACGAGGGCUAAUCUGUCUCCUUUCUCCGGUCAAUGAAAUUGAUCUCCCCGUGCAGAAGCGGGGAUAUAAGCAUAAGACGAGAAGACCCCAUGGAGCUUUAGGCAUAAACAGAUCAUGUUAAAAACCCCUUCCUAAUGGAAUUAACCUAGUGAAUGCUGUUAGACUGCCUUUGGUUGGGGCGACCACGGAGAAAAGAAAAUCCCCCGCGUAGAACGAGGCCAUUCCCCCCUCCCCCCAAGCGAGAGUGACAACUCCAACAAGCAGAAAUUCUGACUAAAUAUGACCCGGCAAAGCCGAUCAACGGACCGAGUUACCCUGGGGAUAACAGCGCAAUCCCCUUCUAGAGCCCCUAUCGACAAGAGGGUUUACGACCUCGAUGUUGGAUCAGGACAUCCUAAUGGCGCAGCCGCUAUUAAGGGUUCGUUUGUUCAACGAUUAAAGUCCUACGUGAUCUG
This 558-nucleotide ribosomal RNA is filed under the name Vincentia conspersa. RNAcentral describes it as "partial 16S ribosomal RNA". It matches the Rfam family "Bacterial large subunit ribosomal RNA", at positions 1853 to 2607 of the family's 2925-position model. Lineage: Eukaryota; Metazoa; Chordata; Actinopteri; Kurtiformes; Apogonidae. The record is from RNAcentral.